CUGCGGAAGGAUCAUUACCGAGUUGAUUCGGGCUCCGUCCCGAUCCUCCCACCCUUUGUAUACCUACCUCUGUUGCUUUGGCGGGCCGCGGUCUUCCGCGGCCGCCCCCCGCAUUUUGGGGGGUGGCUAGUGCCCGCCAGAGGACUAUCAAACUCCAGUCAGUAAACGUUGCAGUCUGAAAAAAAUAUUAAAUAAACUAAAACUUUCAACAACGGAUCUCUUGGUUCUGGCAUCGAUGAAGAACGCAGCGAAAUGCGAUAAGUAAUGUGAAUUGCAGAAUUCAGUGAAUCAUCGAAUCUUUGAACGCACAUUGCGCCCCUUGGUAUUCCGGGGGGCAUGCCUGUUCGAGCGUCAUUUCAACCCUCAAGCUCUGCUUGGUAUUGGGCACCGUCCUUUGCGGGCGCGCCUCAAAGACCUCGGCGGUGGCGUCUUGCCUCAAGCGUAGUAGAAUACACCUCGCUUCGGAGCGUAAGGCGUGCGCCCGCCGGACGAACMUUCUGAACUUUUCUCAAGGUUGACCUCGGAUCAGGUAGGGAUACCCGCUGAACUUAAGCAUA
This 557-nucleotide ribosomal RNA is filed under the name Macrophomina phaseolina. RNAcentral's name for it is "eukaryotic LSU rRNA". The stretch from base 201 to 354 matches the Rfam family "5.8S ribosomal RNA". Lineage: Eukaryota; Fungi; Ascomycota; Dothideomycetes; Botryosphaeriales; Botryosphaeriaceae. The record is from RNAcentral.